Potamilus streckersoni is the source of this 75-nucleotide non-coding RNA. The record is from the annotation of a GenBank genome assembly. NCBI's taxonomy places the organism in Eukaryota, Metazoa, Mollusca, Bivalvia, Unionida, Unionidae.
GACCGCUCCUGUUGCCUAGUGGUUAGAGCGUCCGCCUCGGAUGCGGGAGGAAGGGUUCGAACCCCGGACAAGUCA